CCCUUACUUACAGAAAUGGGCCACAGGAUGAAGGGCUUUUUCUGGUAAGGACCGCUGGGAUUGAACAGAAGCUUCCGGUAAAUAAGGGCCCCGUCGGCAAGACAGCAUACUGCUGUCACAAGUGCAAACACCUGGAAAGAAAGACAAGUGUCACUGCCCUAACCAUGGUCCCCACUCCUGUCAUUCACACAAGUUUUAAGUGGUCUGCCCACCAGAUUCCUCUCUUGCUAGGGUACUCGGAUUGCUCCCUGUGCUUCAUCUAAUACUAACAUGGAGAGACUUCAGAGAUCAUC
This 293-nucleotide long non-coding RNA is filed under the name Homo sapiens (human). RNAcentral describes it as "non-protein coding lnc-TK2-2:2". The record is from RNAcentral. Lineage: Eukaryota; Metazoa; Chordata; Mammalia; Primates; Hominidae.